This 60-nucleotide microRNA precursor is filed under the name Ciona intestinalis (vase tunicate). Its description in RNAcentral is "Cin-Mir-1502-P3_pre stem-loop". It matches the Rfam family "mir-1502 microRNA precursor family". Lineage: Eukaryota; Metazoa; Chordata; Ascidiacea; Phlebobranchia; Cionidae. The record is from RNAcentral.
UUGAACUUUCUAAGGAAUAGGUUUAAACCAAAACUACAACCUAAUUCUUGAAAGUCAACA